This 558-nucleotide ribosomal RNA is filed under the name Naganishia albidosimilis. RNAcentral's name for it is "eukaryotic LSU rRNA". It matches the Rfam family "Eukaryotic large subunit ribosomal RNA", at positions 94 to 656 of the family's 3401-position model. The record is from RNAcentral. Lineage: Eukaryota; Fungi; Basidiomycota; Tremellomycetes; Filobasidiales; Filobasidiaceae.
UGAAGCGGGAAGAGCUCAAAUUUGAAAUCUGGUAGCCUUCGGUUGCCCGAGUUGUAAUCUAGAGAAAUGUUUUCCGUGCCGGCCCAUGUACAAGUCCCUUGGAACAGGGCGUCAUAGAGGGUGAGAAUCCCGUCCUUGACAUGGACCCCCGGUGCUUUGUGAUACAUUUUCAACGAGUCGAGUUGUUUGGGAAUGCAGCUCAAAAUGGGUGGUGAAUUCCAUCUAAAGCUAAAUAUUGGCGAGAGACCGAUAGCGAACAAGUACCGUGAGGGAAAGAUGAAAAGCACUUUGGAAAGAGAGUUAAACAGUACGUGAAAUUGUUGAAAGGGAAACGAUUGAAGUCAGUCAUGCUCUUUGGUAUUUAUAUCAUUGAGUGGGGUCAACAUCAGUUUUGAUCGAUGGAUAAAGGCACUAGGAAUGUAGCACUCUCGGGUGAACUUAUAGCCUAGCGUCAUAUACAUUGAUUGGGACUGAGGAACGCAGCAUGCCUUUAUGGCCGGGAUUCGUCCACGUACAUGCUUAGGAUGUUGACAUAAUGGCUUUAAACGACCCGUCUUG